RNAcentral lists this ribosomal RNA (250 nucleotides) under uncultured bacterium. RNAcentral's name for it is "partial 16S ribosomal RNA". It matches the Rfam family "Bacterial small subunit ribosomal RNA", at positions 524 to 773 of the family's 1533-position model. The record is from RNAcentral.
GACGAACCGUACGAACGUUAUUCGGAAUCACUGGGCUUAAAGGGUGCGUAGGCGGCGAUAAAAGUUGGGUGUGAAAUCCCUCGGCUCAACCGAGGAACUGCGCCCAAAACUGUAUUGCUCGAGGGAGAUAGAGGUGAGCGGAACUUAGGGUGGAGCGGUGAAAUGCGUUGAUAUCCUAAGGAACGCCAGGGGCGAAAGCGGCUCACUGGAUCUCUUCUGACGCUGAGGCACGAAAGCUAGGGUAGCGAAC